AUUGAACGCUGGCGGCAUGCCUUACACAUGCAAGUCGGACGGCAGCACGGGUGCUUGCACCUGGUGGCGAGUGGCGAACGGGUGAGUAAUACAUCGGAACAUGUCCUGUAGUGGGGGAUAGCCCGGCGAAAGCCGGAUUAAUACCGCAUACGAUCUACGGAUGAAAGCGGGGGACCUUCGGGCCUCGCGCUAUAGGGUUGGCCGAUGGCUGAUUAGCUAGUUGGUGGGGUAAAGGCCUACCAAGGCGACGAUCAGUAGCUGGUCUGAGAGGACGACCAGCCACACUGGGACUGAGACACGGCCCAGACUCCUACGGGAGGCAGCAGUGGGGAAUUUUGGACAAUGGGCGAAAGCCUGAUCCAGCAAUGCCGCGUGUGUGAAGAAGGCCUUCGGGUUGUAAAGCACUUUUGUCCGGAAAGAAAUCCUUGGCUCUAAUACAGUCGGGGGAUGACGGUACCGGAAGAAUAAGCACCGGCUAACUACGUG
This 486-nucleotide ribosomal RNA is filed under the name uncultured bacterium. Its description in RNAcentral is "partial 16S ribosomal RNA". It matches the Rfam family "Bacterial small subunit ribosomal RNA", at positions 30 to 507 of the family's 1533-position model. The record is from RNAcentral.